UACGGAGGGUGCAAGCGUUAUCCGGAUUUACUGGGUUUAAAGGGUGCGUAGGUGGGCAGGUAAGUCAGUGGUGAAAUCUCCGGGCUUAACCCGGAAACUGCCAUUGAUACUAUCUGUCUUGAAUAUCCUGGAGGUAAGCGGAAUAUGUCAUGUAGCGGUGAAAUGCUUAGAUAUGACAUAGAACACCAAUUGCGAGGGCAGCUUACUACGGGAUCAUUGACACUGAGGCACGAAAGCGUGGGGAUCAAACAGG
RNAcentral lists this ribosomal RNA (253 nucleotides) under uncultured bacterium. RNAcentral describes it as "partial 16S ribosomal RNA". It matches the Rfam family "Bacterial small subunit ribosomal RNA", at positions 524 to 776 of the family's 1533-position model. The record is from RNAcentral.